RNAcentral lists this ribosomal RNA (4338 nucleotides) under Triticum aestivum (bread wheat). Its description in RNAcentral is "partial small subunit ribosomal RNA". Lineage: Eukaryota; Viridiplantae; Streptophyta; Magnoliopsida; Poales; Poaceae. The record is from RNAcentral.
AUGGCGGAGCUAGUGGUCACCAUGGCACUCCGGCCACUGGUUGCCAUGCUCAGGGACAAGGCGUCCAGCUAUCUCCUCGACCAGUACAAUGUGAUGGAGGGAAUGGAGGAGCAGCACAGGACUCUGAAACGCAGACUUCCUAUCAUCCUGGACGUCAUCACCGAUGCCGAGGAGCAGGCGACGGCCAACAGAGAAGGGGCGAAAGCCUGGCUCCAGGAGCUCAAGAGAGUAGCCUAUGAGGCAAAUGAAGUCUUCGAUGAAUUCAAAUACGAAGCACUUCGCCGUGAAGCCAGGAAGAAUGGACACUACAAAAAGCUUGGAUUUGAUGUGAUAAAACUCUUCCCUACUCACAACCGUGUUGUGUUCCGUCACAGAAUGGGUAGCAAGCUUUGCAGGAUUCUGGAGGAUAUCAAUGUCCUCAUUGCAGAGAUGCAUGACUUUGGGUUGAGGCAGACAUUCUUGGUGUCCAAUCAGUUAGGGCAGACUCCGGUGUCCAAGGAGUGGAGGCAGACAGAUUAUGUCAUCAUCGACCCACAAGAAAUUGCCAGAAGAUCCAGACACGAAGAUAAGAAUAAUAUCAUCGACAUACUACUUGGUCAAGCUAGCAAUGGAGAUCUCGCAGUAGUUCCCAUUGUUGGAAUGGGGGGCCUUGGAAAGACCACAUUAGCGCAACUCAUAUACAAUGAACCUGAAAUUCAGAAGCAUUUUCCAUUGCAGCUCUGGGUCUGCAUCUCUGAUACCUUUGAUGUGAAUUCAGUGGCUAAGAGUAUAGUUGAAGCAUCCCCCAAGAAAAAUGAUGAUACAGACAAACCAGCACUGGAUAGACUUCAAAAACUGGUCAGCGGGCAGAGGUAUCUCCUUGUAUUGGAUGAUGUCUGGAACAGAGAGGUCCACAAGUGGGAAAGGCUGAAGGUCUGUCUUCAGCAUGGUGGCAUGGGUAGUGCAGUGUUGACAACAACCCGUGAUAAACAAGUUGCUGAAAUUAUGGGCGCAGAUAGAACCUACAAUCUUAAUGUUUUGAAGGAUAACUUCAUAAAGGAAAUUAUUGUGGCUAAAGCAUUCAGUUCAGAGAAUGAAAAGCCUCCCGAGCUACUCGAGAUGGUUGGUGAGAUUGCAAAGAGAUGCCGUGGCUCUCCUCUAGCUGCAACUGCACUGGGAUCUGUACUUCGUACCAAGACCAGCGUGGAAGAAUGGAAGGCUUUAUUAUCUAGAAGCAGUAUUUGCACUGAGGAAACUGGAAUUUUGCCAAUACUCAAGCUUAGCUACAACGAUUUGCCCGCACACAUGAAGCAGUGCUUUGCUUUCUGUGCCAUAUUUCCCAAGGAUUACAAGAUUAAUGUGGAGAAGCUUAUCCAACUAUGGAUCGCAAAUGCCUUUAUACCAGAACAGGAGGAAGAUAGUCUUGAAACCGUUGGAAAACAUAUUUUCAGUGAGCUAGCAUCGAGGUCAUUCUUUCUGGACAUAGAGGAAUUUAAGGGUGACAUGGAAAAUCAGCAGUAUUGUUUCAGAACUACAUGCAAAAUUCAUGAUCUUAUGCAUGAUAUUGCAAUGUCUGUUAUGGGAAAGGAAUGUGUCGUUGCAAUUAAGGAGCCCCAAAUUGAGUGGCUUUCGGAUACUGCUCGGCAUUUGUUCUUGUCAUGUGAUGAAACAGAAGGUAUUUUGAAUGAUUCUUUGGAGAAAAAGUCCCCUGCCAUUCAAACACUGAUAUGCGAUAGUCCUAUUCAAAGCUCAUUGAAGCAUCUAUCAAAAUAUAGCUCUUUGCAUGCCUUGAAGCUCUGUCUGAGAACUGAAUCAUUUCUACUCAAACCAAAGUAUCUGCAUCACCUGAGGUACCUUGAUCUCUCAGAAAGUUAUAUCGAAGCACUUCCUGAGGAUAUAAGUAUUCUAUAUAACCUGCAAGUGUUGGACGUUUCCAACUGCCGUUCUCUUGAACGACUUCCAAGGCAAAUGAAGUAUAUGACUUCCCUCUGCCACCUCUACACUCAUGGAUGUUCGAAGUUGAAGAGCAUGCCUCCAGGACUUGAAAAUCUCACUAAGCUGCAGACACUCACAGUUUUUGUAGCAGGAGUUCCUGGCCCUGAUUGCGCUGAUGUUGGAGAGCUGCAUGGUCUAAACAUUGGUGGUCAGCUAGAACUAUGCCAGGUAGAGAAUGUUGAAAAAGCAGAUGCAAAAGUGGCAAACCUUGGUGGUCAGCUAGAGCUACGCCGAGUAGAGAAUGUUAAAAAAGCAGAGGCAAAAGUGGCGAAUCUUGGAAACAAGAAGGAUCUCCAUAAACUGACAUUAAGAUGGACUGAGGUUGGCGACAGCAAGGUGCUCGACAAGUUCGAACCUCAUGGUGGGCUGCAGGUUCUAAAGAUAUAUUCCUAUGGAGGAGAGUGCAUGGGUAUGCUGCAAAACAUGGUUGAGAUCCAUCUUUUUGAUUGUGAAAGAUUGCAAAUUUUGUUUAGAUGCAGUGCAAUCUUCACUUUUCCAAAACUGAAGGUGCUUAUACUAGAACAUUUGUUGGGUUUUGAGAGAUGGUGGCAAAUAGAUGAGAGGCAAGAAGAACAGACUAUAUUUCCUGUGCUUGAGAAGUUGUUAAUUAGGAAUUGUGGAAAGUUGGUAGCAUUACCCGAAGCACGAUUGCUGCAAGGACCUUGUGGUGAAGGUGGUUAUACAUUGGUAUGCUCAGCGUUUCCUGCCCUAAAGGUACUGAAAAUGAAAGAGUUGGAGAGCUUUCGGAGAUGGGAUGCAGUCGAAGAAACUCAAGGAGAACAGAUAUUGUUUCCUCGGCUUGAGAAACUAUCGGUUAAGGAUUGUCCACAACUGAUAGAUUUACCUGAAGCACCAUUGCUUCAAGAACCAUGUAGUGAAGGUGGUUAUAGCUUGGUACGUUCAGCCUUUCCUGCCUUAAAGGUGCUCAAAAUGAAAUGCUUGGGGAGCUUUCAGAGAUGGGAUGCAGUUGAAGGGACAUUGUUUCCUGAGCUUGAGAAACUGUCAGUCCAGAAAUGCCCAAAACUGGUAGCAUUGCCCAAAGCACCAAAACUCAGUUUAUUCGAAAUUGAAGAUGGGAAGCAAGAGAUCUUCCACUGUGUAGACAGGUAUUUGUCUUCAUUGACCAAGCUGACACUGAAGCUAGAACACACAGAAACAACAUCAGAGUCUGAAUGCACUUCAAUUGUACUGGUCGACAGCAAAGAGAAAUGGAACCAGAAAUCCCCACUUACAGUUAUGGAGUUAGGACGCUGCAACUCAUUCUUUGGAGCGGGUGCACUAGAGCCGUGGGACUAUUUUGUACAUCUUGGAGAGCUGGUAAUUAACAGAUGCGAUGUGCUCGUCCACUGGCCAGAGAAAGUGUUCCAAAGCUUGGUAUCCUUGAAGAGGUUACAGAUUAGUGACUGCAAAAAUCUGACUGGAUAUGCAGAAGCUCUUCUUGAGCCGUCAGCAUCCAGAAGGAGUCGACACCUGCCAGGUCUGGAGUCCUUUAAUUUAUAUGGUUGUGUAAAUUUAGUAGAGAUGUUCAACGUCCCGACAUCUCUCAAGAAAAUGGAUAUUGAUCAGUGCAUUAAGCUUGAGUCCAUAUUCAGCAAGCAGCAUGGCAUGGCAGAGUUAGUCCAAGGAUCUUCUAGCAGUGAGGCAGUCAUGCCUGCAGCUGUAUCAGAGUUGUCAUCUUCACCCAUGAAUCACUUUUGUCCAUGCCUAGAAUAUCUGACUUUAGUUGGAUGUGGAAGCUUACAAGCGGUUCUGAACCUUCCUCCGUCUUUAAAGUACAUUCGUAUUGCUAGCUGUAGUAGUAUUCAAGUCCUAUCAUGCCAGCUGGGUGGGCUCCAGAAACCAGAAGUCACUACCUCCAUAAGCAGAAGUCCUAUCAUGCCACAGCCACCAGCAGCAGCAACACCAACUGCAAGAGAGCAUUUACUUCCUCCCCAUCUCGAAUCUCUAGUAAUAGUGGACUGUGCUGGCAUGUUGGGUGGGACUCUCCGUCUACCUGCACCCCUCAAGGGACCGCAGAUUAUGGGAAACAGUGGGCUGACAUCGCUGGAGUGUCUGUCGGGAGAGCACCCCCCAUCGCUGGAUGUCCUUCUUCUUGAAAGAUGCAGUACCCUGGCAUCCCUGCCGAAUGAGCCGCAAGUAUACAGGUCUCUCGUGUAUCUUCAAAUUAGAGGCUGCCCUGCUAUAAAGAAGCUCCCUAGAUGCCUGCAGCAGCAACUGGGCAGCAUCAGCCGCAAACGACUAGAUGCCUGCUAUGAAGUAACAGCAUUUAAACCGAAGACAUGGAGUGAAAUACCAAGGCUGGUUCGAGAGCGGAGGCAGGCCACUCGAGAAGCCAAGAAACUCCGGCAGUCCAUGCAGGAGUAA